Molecule: ribosomal RNA, 422 nt
Filed under: uncultured bacterium
Lineage: Bacteria
Description: partial 16S ribosomal RNA
Rfam family: Bacterial small subunit ribosomal RNA
Source: RNAcentral
AAUAUGUGACGAGGGGGGCAACCCUGAUCCAGCCAUGCCGCGUGCGUGAAGAAGGUCUUCGGAUUGUAAAGCACUUUAAGUUGGGAGGAAGGGCUUUAGGUUAAUACCCUGAAGUUUUGAGGUUCCGAACAGAAUAAGCACAGGCUAACUCUGUGCCAGCAGCCGCGGUAAUACAGAGGGUGCAAGCGUUAAUCGGAAUUACUGGGCGCAAAGCGCGCGUAGGUGGUUCAGUAAGAUGGGUGUGAAAUCCCCGGGCUUAACCUGGGAACUGCUUUCAUAACUGCUGAGCUAGAGUACGGUAGAGGGUAGUGGAAUUUCCUGUGUAGCGGUGAAAUGCGUAGAUAUAGGAAGGAACACCAGUGGCGCAGGCGACUACCUGGACUGAUACUGACACUGAGGUGCGAAAGCGUGGGGAGCAAACA